GACGAACGCUGGCGGCGUGCUUAACACAUGCAAGUCGAACGGAAAGGCCCUGCUUUUGUGGGGUGCUCGAGUGGCGAACGGGUGAGAAACACGUGAGUAACCUGCCCUUGACUUUGGGAUAACUUCAGGAAACUGGGGCUAAUACCGGAUAGGAGCUCCUGCUGCAUGGUGGGGGUUGGAAAGUUUCGGCGGUUGGGGAUGGACUCGCGGCUUAUCAGCUUGUUGGUGGGGUAGUGGCCUACCAAGGCUUUGACGGGUAGCCGGCCUGAGAGGGUGACCGGCCACAUUGGGACUGAGAUACGGCCCAGACUCCUACGGGAGGCAGCAGUGGGGAAUAUUGCACAAUGGGCGGAAGCCUGAUGCAGCAACGCCGCGUGCGGGAUGACGGCCUUCGGGUUGUAAACCGCUUUCGCCUGUGACGAAGCGUGAGUGACGGUAAUGGGUAAAGAAGCACCGGCUAACUACGUG
This 468-nucleotide ribosomal RNA is filed under the name uncultured bacterium. RNAcentral's name for it is "partial 16S ribosomal RNA". It matches the Rfam family "Bacterial small subunit ribosomal RNA", at positions 28 to 507 of the family's 1533-position model. The record is from RNAcentral.